RNAcentral lists this ribosomal RNA (460 nucleotides) under uncultured bacterium. RNAcentral describes it as "partial 16S ribosomal RNA". It matches the Rfam family "Bacterial small subunit ribosomal RNA", at positions 338 to 795 of the family's 1533-position model. The record is from RNAcentral.
CCUACGGGAGGCAGCAGUGCGGAAUAUUGGUCAAUGGACGAGAGUCUGAACCAGCCAAGUAGCGUGAAGGAUGACUGCCCUAUGGGUUGUAAACUUCUUUUAUAUGGGAAUAAAAUGUUCCACGUGUGGGAUUUUGUAUGUACCAUAUGAAUAAGGAUCGGCUAACUCCGUGCCAGCAGCCGCGGUAAUACGGAGGAUCCGAGCGUUAUCCGGAUUUAUUGGGUUUAAAGGGAGCGUAGGUGGAUUGUUAAGUCAGUUGUGAAAGUUUGCGGCUCAACCGUAAAAUUGCAGUUGAAACUGGCAGUCUUGAGUACAGUAGAGGUGGGCGGAAUGCGUGGUGUAGCGGUGAAAUGCUUAGAUAUCACGAAGAACUCCGAUUGCGAAGGCAGUUCACUGGACUGCAACUGACACUGAGGCUCGAAAGUGUGGGUAUCAAACAGGAUUAGAUACCCUAGUAGUC